AGCAUUCAAAAGGAAAAGUGAGUGACUGUGGCAUCUGGAAUGAGAUAAACAGCAAAUACAUUUGCAUGAUCAAACACUAUUUUUUUUUUUUUACAUUUCUCCACAGAGAAUGUAAUAUUAUUCACAGAUUCAUUACAGAUAAGCAGUUUGUUAAGCUCUCAAAGACUCAGAUUUGCAUGUCAAUAAUAAGCCUCGAACUGGCAUUUAUUGAAAGUGCUAACAUUUCUAAUGGUUUCAGAAUAUUUAAAAUAGACUCCUAUGCAAACAUGAAUCAAAAUGGAAACUUUUUUUUUUUUUUCAAAAUUAAAAAUAUCAGACCUUUUAAUGAGAACUGAAUAAUUACCUAACAAUUUACCCUUAAAUGAAAUACUUGUUGACUGGAUUAGUUUUAUGAAAUUGAAAAUGUUUUUUUGUGACAGCACAAAGUUUAUUUUGACAUAAUACCUGCAUUCUAAGUUCUUUUUGAUCACUGGAAGCCACAUUCUCCUCGUUAUUAAUCUUCUUCUCAAGAGAAUGGGAAAAACGUAUCUCAGAGGAACUUCUUAAUUUUAUCAGUUAGUCUCCUUCCAGAACAAUAACUUUCUAAGUUACACUAUCCAUAUUUUAAUGGUCAGUUACACAGAUAUGAUAUAAUGAUAAAAAUUAACCCUGAAUUUGGGAAUUUGAGAUAAAAGUUUAUGAUGGUUAAAAUGGUAUGCUAGGUUGAAUCUGGCUUUUUCACCAACUAGAGAGAUUAGACUGAUAAAGAGUAGAGCUCAGAAAGCAUUACAUGCUGCAGAGGUUGAAUUCUAGCCUGACAUUUCAGAUGACAAAGAAGUUUUCUGCAGUUUCUGGCCUGAAAAAUCUAAUUUAGUGCAGAAGUGUAUUUAAAUUUGUUUGAAUACCUUGCUACGGCUACAGUUAAAAUAUUGUGCCCUUUACAAGAAAAGGAACUGAAGUCUUGCAGAUUAUUUCUUUUUUUGGUUUCUGUGUAUUUUUUAGAACAUUAUUUUCUAGAUAGUUGGAAAUUUUAAACAAUAUAUUUAUUCUCUUUUCUAAUGACCUCUUUUUUUUCCUUUCACUCUAUGGAACAAUGGCAUGUAUAAUGGCAAUAUGAGAAGCAAAGCCCUCUAGACUCGAUUCUGAAAAAUCUAAAUAAAAGGACUCCUAGGAACACUCCUAUGGAUUGGAAGGCUUACCAUGAGAAAGGGAAACGGCAUGCAUGAAUUUUUAAGAAAAUAUUGAACGCCCUUCUUCUACACAUAGCAGGAUGCCUCUGCUUCUUCAUUUUACAGGGCCCAGAACAAAACUUACAUAUUUUUAAUCUCAUUAAAAUACUUAUUUUGAUGCAACAUACUGUUUGAAAGUCCUUUUAUAUUGACUAAUGAAAACUUAUUUAGUUAUAUGUCCAGAUUCCCUUUUCUAUUGCUCUGCAGGGCAAAUGGAGAGAAACUGAUCAGAACUAUCAAUUAAUACAGGCAGCUGUGGUAGCAGGGAGGUUCUGAAAAGGAAGAGGGGAUUUACAUCAGCAAUAAAUUUGUGCUAUCCCUAACUAGGAUAUGAAAACAUAGUAUUUUUUGUUAGGUAUAGUAUAGUUAAACUCUAACCUUAAAUUUGUGUUAGUUUCAAAAAGGGAACUGAAGAUGUUUCAAGCUCUUCUUAAACAGGAAAGAGGGAGCAAUUUUUCCUUGCUCAGUAUCCUCACUGUGAUGGGACUAAAUAACCACUGGGUGUGCAGGUGCUGUGAAAAUCUACUCUUUAUGUCCAGUGAUUUCAGAACUGUGUACUUACUUCCUCUUCAGAAUCUUUCAGAGGUGACUAAAAAGGCCUUUCCUCUGCCCCAUAUACAUCUGUGAGCAUGUUGAAAGGAAAGCAGGUUUGAAAUAAAUUCUGAAAUUGUCAGGGUUGAAUGAGUGCAACUGAGGGCAAAUAGGAUUCAAUACACAGGACUUCAAACAGAGUAAAAUUCAUGCCUUCAAGUGAGCAGACUCUUAACACUGGAUCCUGUAUUUCAUGGAAAACAUACAGUAUUUACAAAUGCCUUACACCUUGAGACUGAGAAUGUACAUGAUACAUUCUCAAAUGAUUAUGCUGCAGACACCUUAUUUGUAAAGCAGGUGUGUGGGAAUAUGUUCAAAUACAUUAGUAUUCACUAUGGAAACAGUGGUCACAGUCUAAUGCUCAGUAUAACUAGCCAAGCUAAAAUGGCCUGAAAUACAAAAUUGGAGCAUCUAUUUUUUCUGAAUUUCUCUGAUGAAGAAACAUCUUGAUGAAGAAGCAUGUCAAAGGUGAGAACAGAAAGAUAUGCAUGUGAGUGUAUGCAGAGUUUAAGUGGAACUUGGCCAUGACCUGCUUCACAUGCUUCCUCUGUCCUCUCCUUUAAAGCAAGCCUAGAUUUUUCUAUUUAUGGUUCUCUUUAGGGGACAAAGAGGAGCUGAAUAUAUAUCUUUGUACUCCACAGCUGGUAUACUAUUCCAACAACAAAUAAACUAAAAUUGAUUUUCAGUUAACUGAGAAGUCCAUCAUUUUGAAAACGAUUAUUUUAAAGUGCUUUCAUUUGAUAAAUUAAUUUUACCAAGUUAAUAAAAAGUAAAACAGCUUAGCAAGAGUAGCAUUAUGCAAGAGUAGUUUUAGUUCUGAAGCAGGAUUUUCUAACUUGGUUAGAUGUAGGCUUCUUGGAUAAAUGGGUUUUAUAACAGAAGUGCUCUCUCAUUCAUGUGUGUAAUAUUACAUUCCUUGUGUAAACAGGGCAUUGCAAGUUGUUUAUUACAGCACUUGUGAUAUGAUCUAAUACAACAGGAUUGUGAAAAGUACAUAUUCAGCACUGAAAACUGCAGAAGUCUUUCUCACGAGCACCCUUCUCCCCUGCAGGGCCUGGAGGACCCUGAGGUCCAGGACGACCUGGUAGACCAAUUGGACCAGCAGUGCCUGCUGCUCCACGUUCCCCUGGUGAACCCUACAAAGAAAGAAACGUUAUAAGAGAAUUCUGAUUUAGUGAUGUUCACGAUCCUGGUCAACAUUUCACAUCUUUGGCCAACAAAGAAGACAGCUGUACUACCCACACCUGGGAGGCCUUGUUCACCCGGUGGGCCAGGAGGACCUGGAUGACCUCUUUCACCAAUUGGGCCAGUCUCACCAGUAGGACCCUAAGCACAAAGCAUUUCCUGUGACAGAAGCAUCCGCUGGUGAUAAAUAAAGUACAUUUUGGCAGAGAUUGAUGGAUUUUAAUCACUCAGUAAGAUGCAAGAAAAAGUUGCUUUUUUGAACUGCCCAGUCUCCACAGGUAUUAAAUAUACUCUUGUUUUUCAGAUUAGAUUUAAUGUGGAACUCUAAAAAGAGUAUACAGGCUAGAUAAAGGGUGAUGUAGGAAAGUAUGAAGAUACACAGAAUCUUUUGGCAUCUGAGCCUGAAAGACAGAUCUCUAGUGCUCAAAUCAAGGCUUUUUGGCUUCUACUUUAGAAAUACAGUUAUAAAUAUAUACAUAGUAGCCACAAGGGUAAAUUUUCCUUUGUGGACAGGAGAUAUUAAUUACGUCUAUUGUCUGUCUCUCAUUCUGAGUGCUGAGGAAAUUUGGACAUUAAACCAGUAUUGGCUGUAGCUUCAGCCACUUCAGAUUGCUAGAAGUCAGUAGAGAUGUUUGCUAUAGUAAGAGCAUUUGCUCUAUGCAAAGAAAUGAAAGUACUGGCAAUGUAAAAACUUUCUUUAUAUAUAUGCAUCUGACCAGGGCUGUCUAUCACUCUGGCAAAGCCAAAGACCUAGGUAAAAAAUGCCUGAAACCUUGAAAGCUUUUGAAAGAUUUGAGUACAUAAAAAAAACAAAAUCUAGCCUACAGCAUUACCAAAACAAUAGAAUGACGCUAUUGUUACCACAAAUCUCUUGAAUGGAAUGAGCUUUUCAGCAUCUACUAUAAUAUACAUUAAUAAGAGAAAGGAUGUCAAAUUAUCUACUUGAGAUCAAUUUAGAGAUUACUUAAAUUGCUGUCAAGAGGAUCCAAACCCACUUUAACAAAGGAACGUUUUCUAAUUGUAUUGUUCCAGUGUAAAUAAUCAUAGAGGACACAGAUUUACAAAUUGGGCUUGGUAUGUCCUUGGUAUGUAAGUCAAAAAUAAACUGCUGCUGCAAGGGAAAACACACAACAGUGGAGACAGAAGAGGCUGCAGUGAAAUAAUGAACACAGAAAAAGAGAAAGGAAUUAAAAG
This is a long non-coding RNA of Numida meleagris (helmeted guineafowl), 4178 nucleotides long. RefSeq lists it as uncharacterized. The record is from RefSeq and is a predicted model, not a curated record. Lineage: Eukaryota; Metazoa; Chordata; Aves; Galliformes; Numididae. The transcript has 5 exons.